CUGCGGCAGCGACACUCAGGUGUUGUUGGGUAGGGGAGCGUUCUGUAAGCCUGUGAAGGUGGCCUGUGAGGGUUGCUGGAGGUAUCAGAAGUGCGAAUGCUGACAUAAGUAACGAUAAAGCGGGUGAAAAGCCCGCUCGCCGGAAGACCAAGGGUUCCUGUCCAACGUUAAUCGGGGCAGGGUGAGUCGACCCCUAAGGCGAGGCCGAAAGGCGUAGUCGAUGGGAAACGGGUUAAUAUUCCCGUACUUGGUGUUACUGCGAAGGGGGGACGGAGAAGGCUAUGUUGGCCGGGCGACGGUUGUCCCGGUUUAAGCGUGUAGGUGUGUGUUCCAGGUAAAUCCGGUUCACUUUAACACUGAGGCGUGAUGACGAGGCGCUACGGUGCUGAAGCAACAAAUGCCCUGCUUCCAGGAAAAGCCUCUAAGCAUCAGGUAACAUCAAAUCGUACCCCAAACCGACACAGGUGGUCAGGUAGAGAAUACCAAGGCGCUUGAGAGAACUCGGGUGAAGGAACUAGGCAAAAUGGUGCCGUAACUUCGGGAGAAGGCACGCUGACACGUAGGUGAAGUGAUUUACUCAUGGAGCUGAAGUCAGUCGAAGAUACCAGCUGGCUGCAACUGUUUAUUAAAAACACAGCACUGUGCAAACACGAAAGUGGACGUAUACGGUGUGACGCCUGCCCGGUGCCGGAAGGUUAAUUGAUGGGGUCAGCGCAAGCGAAGCUCCUGAUCGAAGCCCCGGUAAACGGCGGCCGUAACUAUAACGGUCCUAAGGUAGCGAAAUUCCUUGUCGGGUAAGUUCCGACCUGCACGAAUGGCGUAAUGAUGGCCAGGCUGUCUCCACCCGAGACUCAGUGAAAUUGAACUCGCUGUGAAGAUGCAGUGUACCCGCGGCAAGACGGAAAGACCCCGUGAACCUUUACUAUAGCUUGACACUGAACAUUGAGCCUUGAUGUGUAGGAUAGGUGGGAGGCUUUGAAGUGUGGACGCCAGUCUGCAUGGAGCCGACCUUGAAAUACCACCCUUUAAUGUUUGAUGUUCUAACGUGGACCCGUGAUCCGGGUUGCGGACAGUGUCUGGUGGGUAGUUUGACUGGGGCGGUCUCCUCCUAAAGAGUAACGGAGGAGCACGAAGGUUGGCUAAUCCUGGUCGGACAUCAGGAGGUUAGUGCAAUGGCAUAAGCCAGCUUGACUGCGAGCGUGACGGCGCGAGCAGGUGCGAAAGCAGGUCAUAGUGAUCCGGUGGUUCUGAAUGGAAGGGCCAUCGCUCAACGGAUAAAAGGUACUCCGGGGAUAACAGGCUGAUACCGCCCAAGAGUUCAUAUCGACGGCGGUGUUUGGCACCUCGAUGUCGGCUCAUCACAUCCUGGGGCUGAAGUAGGUCCCAAGGGUAUGGCUGUUCGCCAUUUAAAGUGGUACGCGAGCUGGGUUUAGAACGUCGUGAGACAGUUCGGUCCCUAUCUGCCGUGGGCGCUGGAGAACUGAGGGGGGCUGCUCCUAGUACGAGAGGACCGGAGUGGACGCAUCACUGGUGUUCGGGUUGUCAUGCCAAUGGCACUGCCCGGUAGCUAAAUGCGGAAGAGAUAAGUGCUGAAAGCAUCUAAGCACGAAACUUGCCCCGAGAUGAGUUCUCCCUGAGACUUUAGGUCUCCUGAAGGAACGUUGAAGACGACGACGUUGAUAGGCCGGGUGUGUAAGCGCAGCGAUGCGUUGAGCUAACCGGUACUAAUGAACCGUGAGGCUUAACCUUACA
Molecule: ribosomal RNA, 1752 nt
Filed under: Salmonella enterica
Lineage: Bacteria; Pseudomonadati; Pseudomonadota; Gammaproteobacteria; Enterobacterales; Enterobacteriaceae
Description: partial 23S ribosomal RNA
Rfam family: Bacterial large subunit ribosomal RNA
Source: RNAcentral